Molecule: unclassified non-coding RNA, 386 nt
Filed under: Cassytha pubescens
Lineage: Eukaryota; Viridiplantae; Streptophyta; Magnoliopsida; Laurales; Lauraceae
Description: partial miscellaneous RNA
Source: RNAcentral
CACGACGUUGUAAAACGACGUUAUGCAUGAACGUAAUGCUCACAACUUCCCUCUAGACCUAGCUUCUGUCGAAGUUCCAUCCACAAAUGGAUAAUACUUCGGUUUUAGUGUAUACGAUACAUUGAAUAGUCAAUACCAAACUUCUUGAUAGAAGUUUGGUAUUGAUACGUUUGAUUCACUAGUGUUUUAUUCACAUCAGAAUUUUUCAUUUUCAUUUCUUUUAUUCAAUCUAAUAAAGCGCUUGUAUACUAUGUUAUUCAAAACCAUUUUUUUUUAGUAAAGGGAUUGAUUGGUAUUUUAUAUACCAUUUUUGAGAGAAAGAAGGGGCGGAUGUAGCCAAGUGGCUCAAGGCAGUGGAUUGUGAAUCCACCAUGCGCGCCUGUGUG